This 391-nucleotide RNase P RNA is filed under the name Evansella tamaricis. Its description in RNAcentral is "Bacillus tamaricis RNase P RNA component class B". It matches the Rfam family "Bacterial RNase P class B". From Rfam's summary of the family: Ribonuclease P (RNase P) is a ubiquitous endoribonuclease, found in archaea, bacteria and eukarya as well as chloroplasts and mitochondria. Its best characterised activity is the generation of mature 5'-ends of tRNAs by cleaving the 5'-leader elements of precursor-tRNAs. The record is from RNAcentral. Lineage: Bacteria; Bacillati; Bacillota; Bacilli; Caryophanales; Bacillaceae.
AUGUUUGAGUAAUCGCUGCUUCAUUUGAAGUAGAGGAAAGUCCAUGCUCGCACAGUCUGCGAUGACUGUAGUGUUCGUGCCUAGCGAAGUCAUAAGCUAGGGUAGUCUGGUCUCGACUGGACUAACGGCAGGGAAAACACCUACGUGAAUUUCGGUUCAUAUGGUGUGAAUACCUUGAAAGUGCCACAGUGACGAAGUCUGUCUGGAAACGGACAGAGUGGAACGGGGUAAACCCCACGAGCGAGAAACCCAAAAUUAGGUAGGGGCAUCCCCAGGAAGGAAUUGAACGGAAUGGGGAACAGACAAUUUGUCUGUAGACAGAUGAUUGCUGCCUGAGUACGAGGGCCGACACCCGUUUGUAGUACGAUGGUACAGAACAUGGCUUACAAAA